GGAUGUGAGGAUAAUUUGGCUGCGAUUUCUGUCAACCCAUUGAUCAACGGGGUUGAUUCGGCUGAUCUGGCUGGCUGGAUGGGUGUCUCCUUCCUCCCUCACCACUCCAUGCUUAGUCAAAGAUGGCCUUCCCUACUAGAAGAGAACCAGAUUAGUCAAGGGACUACGAGUAGCUGCGUUCCACACCUCCAAACAGUUCCUCAAAGUUACUGCGUUCAUGGUGUCUCUUCACAGCAAUAAAAACCCUGA
RNAcentral lists this small nuclear RNA (249 nucleotides) under Mus spretus (western wild mouse). Its description in RNAcentral is "predicted gene, 54577 (ENSMSPG00010031179.1)". It matches the Rfam family "7SK RNA", at positions 1 to 287 of the family's 331-position model. From Rfam's summary of the family: 7SK was discovered as an abundant small nuclear RNA in the mid-70s but a possible function has only recently been suggested. Two independent studies have found that 7SK RNA binds the CDK9/cyclin T complex (known as elongation factor P-TEFb). P-TEFb activates transcription by phosphorylating the C-terminal domain of RNA polymerase II. The record is from RNAcentral. Lineage: Eukaryota; Metazoa; Chordata; Mammalia; Rodentia; Muridae.